RNAcentral lists this ribosomal RNA (446 nucleotides) under uncultured bacterium. RNAcentral's name for it is "SSU rRNA". It matches the Rfam family "Bacterial small subunit ribosomal RNA", at positions 26 to 518 of the family's 1533-position model. The record is from RNAcentral.
AGAGCGAACGCUGGCGGCAGGCUUAACACAUGCAAGUCGAGCGGGCGUAGCAAUGCGUCAGCGGCAGACGGGUGAGUAACGCGUGGGAACGUACCUUUGGUUCGGAACAACCCAGGGAAACUUGGGCUAAUACCGGAUAAGCCCUUACGGGGAAAGAUUUAUCGCCGAAAGAUCGGCCCGCGUCUGAUUAGCUAGUUGGUGAGGUAAUGGCUCACCAAGGCGACGAUCAGUAGCUGGUCUGAGAGGAUGAUCAGCCACAUUGGGACUGAGACACGGCCCAAACUCCUACGGGAGGCAGGCAGUGGGGAAUAUUGGACAAUGGGCGCAAGCCUGAUCCAGCCAUGCCGCGUGAGUGAUGAAGGCCCUAGGGUUGUAAAGCUCUUUGUGCGGGAAGAUAAUGACGGUACCGCAAGAAUAAGCCCGGCUAACUUCGUGCCAGCAGCCGC